GGACAGGUGGCAGAGUGGCUGAAUGCACCGGUUUGCUAAACCGACGUAGGGGAAUUAGCCCCUACCGCGGGUUCGAAUCCCGCCCUGUCCG
This 91-nucleotide transfer RNA is filed under the name Phycisphaera sp. TMED24. RNAcentral's name for it is "tRNA-Ser". It matches the Rfam family "tRNA". From Rfam's summary of the family: Transfer RNA (tRNA) molecules are approximately 80 nucleotides in length. The record is from RNAcentral. Lineage: Bacteria; Pseudomonadati; Planctomycetota; Phycisphaerae; Phycisphaerales; Phycisphaeraceae. RNAcentral also lists the same sequence under 2 other names.